UACGUAGGGCGCAAGCGUUGUCCGGAAUUAUUGGGCGUAAAGAGCUCGUAGGCGGUUUGUCGCGUCUGCUGUGAAAACUCGAGGCUCAACCUCGAGACGUCGGCGGAAACCAUCUGGCUAGAGUCCGGAAGAGGAGAGUGGAAUUCCUGGUGUAGCGGUGAAAUGCGCAGAUAUCAGGAGGAACACCGGUGGCGAAGGCGGGUCUCUGGGCCGAUACUGACGCUGAGGAGCGAAAGCGUGGGGAGCGAACAGG
RNAcentral lists this ribosomal RNA (253 nucleotides) under uncultured bacterium. RNAcentral's name for it is "partial 16S ribosomal RNA". It matches the Rfam family "Bacterial small subunit ribosomal RNA", at positions 524 to 776 of the family's 1533-position model. The record is from RNAcentral.